Molecule: ribosomal RNA, 200 nt
Filed under: uncultured organism
Description: partial small subunit ribosomal RNA
Rfam family: Bacterial small subunit ribosomal RNA
Source: RNAcentral
GUCAAAUCAUCACGCCCCUUAUGUCCUGGGCUACACACGUGCUACAAUGGCCGGAACAGAGGGCAGCGAAGGAGUAAUCCGGAGCCAAUCCCAAAAACCCGGUCCCAGUUCGGAUUGUGGGCUGCAACCCGCCCACAUGAAGUCGGAGUUGCUAGUAAUCGCGGAUCAACCAUGCCGCGGUGAAUGCGUUCCCGGGCCUU